GCGGUCGUGGCGGAACUGGCAGACGCGCUAGACUUAGGAUCUAGUCUCUUAGAGGUGGGAGUUCAAGUCUCUUCGACCGCACCA
Molecule: transfer RNA, 84 nt
Filed under: Clostridiales bacterium
Lineage: Bacteria; Bacillati; Bacillota; Clostridia; Eubacteriales
Description: tRNA-Leu
Rfam family: tRNA
About the family: Transfer RNA (tRNA) molecules are approximately 80 nucleotides in length. Their secondary structure includes four short double-helical elements and three loops (D, anti-codon, and T loops).
Source: RNAcentral